This 253-nucleotide ribosomal RNA is filed under the name uncultured bacterium. RNAcentral describes it as "partial 16S ribosomal RNA". It matches the Rfam family "Bacterial small subunit ribosomal RNA", at positions 524 to 776 of the family's 1533-position model. The record is from RNAcentral.
UACGUAGGGAGCAAGCGUUGUCCGGAAUCAUUGGGCGUAAAGCGCGCGUAGGUGGCCUCAUAAGUCCGCUGUGAAAGUCAAAGGCUCAACCUUUGAAAGCCGGUGGAUACUGUGAGGCUAGAGUACGGAAGAGGCGAGUGGAAUUCCUGGUGUAGCGGUGAAAUGCGCAGAUAUCAGGAGGAACACCGGUGGCGAAGGCGGAUCUCUGGGCCUUGCCUGACGCUGAGGCGCGAAAGCUAGGGGAGCGAACAGG